CCGGUGUUCGUUCUCUUCGGCUCCUCCAUUGUCCAGUUCAGCUUCAGCAAUGGCGGAUGGGGGGCCGCUCUCGCCGAUAUCUACGCUCGCAAGGCUGAUAUCUUUUUGCGUGGGUAUUCUUCUUGGAACUCAAGGCGUGGUCUAGCCGUAAUUGACCAAGUGUUCCCGAAGGAUGCACCGGUGCAACCUUCAUUAGUGAUAGUCUAUUUUGG
This 212-nucleotide unclassified non-coding RNA is filed under the name Hevea brasiliensis (rubber tree). The record is from RNAcentral. Lineage: Eukaryota; Viridiplantae; Streptophyta; Magnoliopsida; Malpighiales; Euphorbiaceae.